AGGGCAGGCAUCGUCACGGGUUGUUCGAGCGAUCGAACCUAAGAGGGAAGCGGGUUCAAAUCCCGCGCUGCCCCCGCAACUGUGACCGGGGAGCUUUCGCCCGAUAUGCCACUGCUUGUUGGAGCGGGAAGGCGGGCGGCAAGCGAUGAUCCGGGAGCCAGGAGACCUGCCGGGUGACGGUCGCUUUUG
This 189-nucleotide non-coding RNA is filed under the name Erythrobacter sp. EC-HK427. Lineage: Bacteria; Pseudomonadati; Pseudomonadota; Alphaproteobacteria; Sphingomonadales; Erythrobacteraceae. The record is from RNAcentral.